Molecule: unclassified non-coding RNA, 252 nt
Filed under: uncultured fungus
Lineage: Eukaryota; Fungi
Description: partial contains 5.8S ribosomal RNA, internal transcribed spacer 2, and large subunit ribosomal RNA
Rfam family: 5.8S ribosomal RNA (bases 1-52)
Source: RNAcentral
AACGCACAUUGCGCCCGCCAGUAUUCUGGCGGGCAUGCCUGUUCGAGCGUCAUUUCAACCCUCGAGCCCGCUGGGCUUGGUGUUGGGGCCCGGCCGCGCUCUGCGGCCGGCCCUGAAAUGUAGUGGCGGUCUCGCCGCAGCCUCCCCUGCGCAGUAGCACAACUCGCACCGGAGAGCGGCGGGGCCACGCCGUGAAACCCCAUACUUCGUAAGGUUGACCUCGGAUCAGGUAGGAAUACCCGCUGAACUUAA